UUUGCUCCUUUGAGCAACGUGUCCGGUGACUGUUUAAAAAAAAUCUGUUCUUAUCAGUUUAAUAUCUGAUACGUCCCCUACCCGGGGACCAUAUAUUAAAUAGAUUUUUGGAACAGGGAGAUGAAAUAGGGGCUUGCUCCGUUCACUCCACGCAUCGACCUGGUAUUGUAGUACCUCCAGGAACGGAGCACCACCC
Molecule: small nuclear RNA, 196 nt
Filed under: Nothobranchius furzeri (turquoise killifish)
Lineage: Eukaryota; Metazoa; Chordata; Actinopteri; Cyprinodontiformes; Nothobranchiidae
Description: U2 spliceosomal RNA (ENSNFUG00015013864.1)
Rfam family: U2 spliceosomal RNA
About the family: U2 is a small nuclear RNA (snRNA) component of the spliceosome (involved in pre-mRNA splicing).
Source: Rfam by way of RNAcentral